This 29-nucleotide small RNA is filed under the name Bombyx mori (domestic silkworm). RNAcentral describes it as "ovarian small RNA-3896". The record is from RNAcentral. Lineage: Eukaryota; Metazoa; Arthropoda; Insecta; Lepidoptera; Bombycidae.
UGUCUGUGUGUCUGCCUACCACGAUUAAU